This 972-nucleotide ribosomal RNA is filed under the name Pholidoscelis taeniurus (Hispaniolan blue-tailed ameiva). RNAcentral describes it as "partial 16S ribosomal RNA". It matches the Rfam family "Bacterial large subunit ribosomal RNA", at positions 1326 to 2620 of the family's 2925-position model. Lineage: Eukaryota; Metazoa; Chordata; Lepidosauria; Squamata; Teiidae. The record is from RNAcentral.
ACUCCUACCACCUGGUGCCUUGGGCCCCAACAGUCUAAAAGAUAAUCAAUGAGGGCACAGCUUCAUUGAUACAGGAAACAACCUUCAUUAGCGACAAACCUAUAUAACCUCUUCCCCAGUAGGCCCUCAAGCAGCCAACAAAAAUAAAAUGCGUUACAGCAAUAAAUAUUCUAAUCCCAUAAUCUUAUAUAAACCUCCUACUCAAUAUCGGACAAAUCUAUUAUAUUAUAGAUACACCCAUGUUAAAACUAGUAAUAAGAAAAAUUCUCUCCGCACAAGCAAACACUAACAGACAUACCACUUGAACCCCACCACCCACACAAGAAAACCAAAUCUACCUAAACUGUUAACCCAACCCAGGAGUGCAUAAAGAAGAUUAAAAGUUACAAAAGGAACUCGGCAACCUAAGUCCCAACUGUUUACCAAAAACAUAGCCUUUAGCCCAACAAGUAUUAAAGGUGAUGCCUGCCCAGUGAUAUUUUCAACGGCCGCGGGAUCCUACACCGUGCAAAGGUAGCAUAAUCACUUGUCAUCUAAAUAAUGACUAGCAUGAAUGGCCAAAUGAGGACUUUACUGUCUCUUGUAACCAAUCUAUGAAACUGAUCUUCCAGUUCAAAAGCUGGAAUAAACACACAAGACGAAAAGACCCUGUGGAACUUUCAAGUGUUAAUCAAUACAUGAUAUAACCACUUUUAGUUGGGGCAACUUUGGAACAAAAUAAAACUUCCAAUUACGGGAAAUAAUUAAAGUUAGGUCUACACACCAAUCUUUAUUACCCAUUAUCGACCCAGUACUACUGAUAAAAGAACCAAGCUACCCCAGGGAUAACAGCGCCAUCCCCUCUUAGAGUCCCAAUCGACGAGCGGGGCUUACGACCUCGAUGUUGGAUCAGGGCCCCCAAACAGUGCAGCAGCUGUUAAAGGUUUGUUUGUUCAACAAUUAAUGCCCUACGUGAUCUGAGUUCAAACCGGA